Molecule: long non-coding RNA, 2896 nt
Organism: Peromyscus californicus insignis
Lineage: Eukaryota; Metazoa; Chordata; Mammalia; Rodentia; Cricetidae
Exons: 3
Source: RefSeq, a predicted model, not a curated record
GCCCCACCUGCAAAAUCAAGAAUAUCACACUGGAAACAAAGCAGACAGUGACACUCCAAGAUUGAUGGCUAAUUCUGUCCACCUGUUCCCAGGUAAGCUUUACUGGGGUACAUAAUAUAUCAACACAUGGAGCAGUUUGAGAUUUUUCUCCAUUCUUCAUGAUGGUUUGCCAUUGAAAGUAUUAUGCUGAGAGUUAUUUCAGAAUACCUCCAGGAAGUCAUUUGCGUGUAUCACAAAAAGAAUAGAGCGAACAGAGGCAGAAUGAAGAUAAAGCCAUCUUCAAUAUGUGUACGUGAAGAAGAACAAGGAGGCCAGAAAGGUGGAACAGAAAAUACAAUAACCAAGUUGAAAAAGAAAGUUGAAAAUUUUCAACACAUAGUGAAAAAUAUAGGCAUGCAUAAUGAUCAAUCUCAAUAAAGCCUACAAAACCCAGAAAUAUCAAAUUCUUGACAAUAAUCCUAUAGUAUUGAAUAAAAAAAUGUAGAUAAAAAUAUCAGCAGAUUCUUUCUUGUUUAUCACAUGGGAUAGAAAGAGUGAAAUGGAAGCAGUCAAGUGCUGACAAAAAAAAGAGAAAACAAAUACAGUGUCACCCUGAAUUCCACACAUGCGAACGACGUCUCCAAGUAAAGAUGAAAUGUCAUCACGGCUUUUGAAUGCACUUGCCUUGAUCAUGACUCCCACUUUUGGAUAAAGACACAUCUGAAUGUUGCUGUGAAGUAAUUCUUGCAUGUGAUGGUGAUUUAAAUCAACACAUUCAGUAAAACAGAGAGCCCUUCACAGUGUGAGGACAUUUUGUCCAAUCCACUGAAGCUAUUAAAACAAAACACUGAGGCUCCUCAAGGAGAAAGAGUAUGCUUCUAAGUAGAAAUUGGAGUCAAAAAUGAAACAUCCACCUGUCCUGUCCCUUGCUAUCCAGUCUCCUGUCUGCUCUGCAAGGUUUUGUAUUUCCCAGGUCCCAUACUUAAAUUCCUUAUAACCUCCAUAAGCUGAUAAACACAAACACAUUUGUGUGUGUUUGUGUGUAUGUGUAAAAUUAUAUAUAUAUAUAUAUAUAUAUAUAUAUAUAUAUAUAUACAAACAUAUUAUUGAUUUUACUUUUCCUGAGAAUAGUGAUCAAUACACAAAAUUAAGAUAUAUUUAGAAUGAAAACGACAAUUCAUUGCACCACAAGAAUUGUAAGGAAAUUAUUUUCAGAUUAUCCAUACCACUACAUUUUCAUACUUAAUAUAAGCUUAAAAUCUGUCUUUUAUAUAUUUUUAUUUUUUCUGGAUGCUUUAAAUUUCAUAAAUAUUAUUCACUGUGUGACUUGUAAACAUUUCUUUAGAGUAUUUUUCAUUUAUUUAACUUUCUGUUUUUCAGCUUUAAUCAUAUUAAGGACCAAAGAACUCAUAUUAGUAUGAUUGCUGCAUUGUAUUCCAUUUGUAAUUAUAUCAAAUGCACUCAUUUCCAAUGAACAGAUAUUAAUGUUGUCACUGUCCAGUGUUAGGACAAUAACUUUUUAAUGUUUUUCUCUUGUGCCUUUCUUAAAUGUUGCAAGGUAUGUUCCAUGAGUAAUACUGCUUGUUUGUAGAUUAUUCUAAUACUGUAGAUAUUCUGAUAAAUAAAUGUACUAUAUAUUGUGAAGUGACUACUACCUUUGCAAUUACCUUACAUCAAUUCACAAUUCUCUACUCCUCACUUAAACUGUCAUGUUCAGACUUCAAAAUGUUUGACAGUCUAUUAGUAUGAAAUUGCAUCGCAUAUGAAUUUUCUUUCUUACCAGUGCCAGUAUUCUUCAUUUUAAACUUUACUAUAAAAUUGCAAAUAAAACAUUUCACACAACUUCAUUAAUGAGACCCAAAUAGUAUAUGUGUACAUAUAUAUAUAUACACAUACAUCUCAAUGAACUUUGAUACAAUUAAAAUAGCCAUUUGGAACAGAAGCUUUGUACCUUCACAUUGGAUUUUAUACUUUAAUUAUCUAUCUAUCUAUCUAUCUAUCUAUCUAUCUAUCUAUCUAUUUUAAUGUAUUUUUCUAUCAUCCCCAUUCCCCCAAAAUAAUGGCAGAAUUAAAAAUACAGUUAGAUUUUACAUUUUCUUUCACAGUUCACUAAUAUUUAGCUUCUUUUGUUUUCUUUUCUGCAUGUUAUUCUGUAACCAUAUUUACAUUUGCUCACAUAUGUAUACGGGGUAAAUUCUAUCCAUCAGAGACAAAUGCAGUUAUUUUAUUGCUGAAACUUUAUGAGCUUGCUUAAUAUUGUAUAUUCUAAGUAAAUCUAUUUUUCUGCAAAUGUUUUAAUUGUAUUUUUAAAAAGCUGAAUAAUAUUACUACACGUGCAUAUAUAAAUAUUCCGUAUUUUCUUGAACGUAUUAAUCUCUUCCUUUGUGACUUGUACCUGUACAUUGUUUUCUAAUACUUUACUGGAUUAGUUUUACUGUUUUAUUAUUUUCUCAUAAUUUGUCAUGUUAAGUCAAAAAGAAUUUCUCUCCUAAACUUGUAAUUUGUUUUUGACAUUGAAACUGGUAUUUAAAAUAAAAAUGUAUUUUGAUGGCAUUACCAUUUUAAUAGCACUUACUGAAUAAAUACAUCAAUCCUUACACAUUUUAAAUGCUUGGGAGAUUUAGUCUACUACCUACUAAUGUAUAGAUGCUGUGAAGCUGUGUUCACCUUUGUUCAGAUUGAUAGUCAAUUUACUUCAUGGUGUUGCUUCAACGGCUCAUAUCCCUUUUUUGUUCUCAUGCACAUGAAUAGUUGGUUUCUGAGAUGUCUUCCAUGCACCCACUCUAUCCAUAUCUUAAGUAAUCAAGCCUUUAAAGUUUUGUGAUUUACAUAGGAAAGCCACUAAUAUUUUUGUUUCAAAAUGGAUUUUUCCAUUUAGUGUCUCUGUUGUCUUUACUACAAUAUAAUCUACUUAUCA